Molecule: long non-coding RNA, 931 nt
Organism: Marmota flaviventris (yellow-bellied marmot)
Lineage: Eukaryota; Metazoa; Chordata; Mammalia; Rodentia; Sciuridae
Source: RefSeq, a predicted model, not a curated record
UUCUGAGUUCUGUCUUCUAAAAAGAGCCCAGAGUAGCUGCUCCUGCCUCAUCACUGGCCCUGCUGUUUUCUUCAUCAGAUCAGUUCUAGGUCAAUUUCUAGUGUCAUGAUAAACUCUCAAGCUACAGAGACGCCAAGUUUGCUUUACUCAUUCAUCCAGCAAAUAUUCAAUUAAUGUUAACUAUAUUCCAAUAUUGGCCCAAGCACUAAGGAUACAGAAGUGAACAAAGAUUCUUCUACUAGGGAGCUUGCAAGAACAUGUCUAACAGCUCAGUGGACCAAAUCACCCAGUUCACGAGGAGAUGCUUCAAACUUAACAAAAAUAUAUAUAAAGCAGGAAAAGAUAAGACUCAGGGGCUGCUCCAAUUUGACUGCGCAUAGCACCAGAACCACAUAGGCUUGUGGUGGGGCCUGAGGAUGUGCAUUUGGCACAAGUUUUCAACAAUCUAAUGCUGCUGGUCCAGGGUCCCCGCUUGAAGAACCACUGCUUUGUUAUAAUCAUCCUGAUCAUCAGGGCACCUGCAACCAAGGAGCUGGGUGUUGCUCAAGGAAAAUCACCCAACCCCACUGACUGCUUUCACUUAAAUUCAUGAUUACAGAUUCUAAAGGAGCCCUCAGUAACUGCCUGGCUGUCCUUUUCAAUUUCCCUAGUAAAGUCCCUUUGUCUAUUCUGUACUCUGUCCUCUCUUCUCAAACUUUCGUGUCUUGCCUACUCUUCAAUUUCAGCAGAUAACCUCACCUCCCACACUUCAGUGAGGAACUAGAGUAGAGGCCAGGAAAUAGGAACUCUCUUCCCAAUGGUGCUUGAGGCUCCUCUGACUUUCCUCCUGUUACAAGGGAAAGACAGAUUUCUGUCUGUCACCAGUCAGUCUCCCCUUUGCUCUGCAUCCCAUCAGCCUCACCUUUUUUUUUGUUUUUUUUUAAAGAGAGAG